Molecule: long non-coding RNA, 444 nt
Organism: Gallus gallus (chicken)
Lineage: Eukaryota; Metazoa; Chordata; Aves; Galliformes; Phasianidae
Source: Ensembl
GUGCUUCCUGAGCAGCUGCUGGAAAGAGCUGACUCUGCCCUGCUGCUCUGCUCUAUGUGCCAUCCCAGUACCUGUUCCUUUGAUCGGAGUGACCCAGCAAUUGCCCCAGCCUCGAGCAGUGGCACUGGAUCCACAUGGCCUUAAUGGUGUGCUGUACUUAACAGCAGUUUCUCUAAGGUGGGAAAGGAAGCUGAGGAGUGUCGGGUCUGUGUACAAGAGAAGCUGCAAGAUUUUGUGUGCUUUCAGUGCUGCUGGCAGGAGGAAGAUGUGUGCUAAGAGCUCUCCAGGCUAUUCGGAUGCUACAAACAGCACAGAUUUCCUGGAACAGAGAUCAACCUUUUCACAGAAUGCUUUCUUAGUAUCCCAGAUCUCCUCAGGCCAGAGGGUCUUAGAUCUGUGCCUAGGAUCAUCAUGGAGCGGAUCCUCCUAGAAGAGAUGUUAAGG